GGAGAAAUGGCUCAGCAGUUAAAAGCACUGACUGCUAAUUCAGAAGACCUGGGCUCGAUUCCCAGUACCCACA
Molecule: transfer RNA, 73 nt
Filed under: Cricetulus griseus (Chinese hamster)
Lineage: Eukaryota; Metazoa; Chordata; Mammalia; Rodentia; Cricetidae
Rfam family: tRNA
About the family: Transfer RNA (tRNA) molecules are approximately 80 nucleotides in length. Their secondary structure includes four short double-helical elements and three loops (D, anti-codon, and T loops).
Source: Rfam by way of RNAcentral